Molecule: ribosomal RNA, 466 nt
Filed under: uncultured bacterium
Lineage: Bacteria
Description: SSU rRNA
Rfam family: Bacterial small subunit ribosomal RNA
Source: RNAcentral
AGGACUAACGCUGGCGGCGUGCCUAACACAUGCAAGUCGAACGAGGGGUAGCAAUACCCCUAGUGGCAGACGGGUGAGUAACACGUAGUCAACCUACCUCUUAAUGGGGGAUAACUAGCCGAAAGGUUAGCUAAUACCGCAUACGAUCGUCGAGUGGCAUCACACGACGAUGAAAGGAGCAAUCCGUUGAGAGAGGGGACUGCGUCCCAUUAGUUAGUUGGUGGGGUAAUGGCCUACCAAGACUCCGAUGGGUAGCUGGCUUGAGAGAGCGACCAGCCACACUGGAACUGAGACACGGUCCAGACUCCUACGGGAGGCAGCAGUGAGGAAUUUUCCGCAAUGGGGGAAACCCUGACGGAGCGACGCCGCGUGUGGGAAGAAGGCCUUCGGGUCGUAACCACUGUCGAGGGGACGAUAUUGACGGUACCCCUGGAGGAAGCCCGGCUAACUACGUGCCAGCAGCCGC